CAGUCGCCACGGUAAGACAGAGGAUGCAAGCGUUAUCCGGAAUGAUUGGGCGUAAAGCGCGCGCAGGCGGAUCGGUCAGUCUGCCUUAAAAGUUCGGGGCUUAACCCCGUGAUGGGAUGGAAACUGCCAAUCUAGAGUAUCGGAGAGGAAAGUGGAAUUCCUAGUGUAGCGGUGAAAUGCGUAGAUAUUAGGAAGAACACCAGUGGCGAAGGCGACUUUCUGGACGAAAACUGACGCUGAGGCGCGAAAGCCAGGGGAGCGAACGGGAUUAGAUACCCGAGUAGUCCCUGUCUCUUAUACA
This 301-nucleotide ribosomal RNA is filed under the name uncultured bacterium. RNAcentral's name for it is "partial 16S ribosomal RNA". It matches the Rfam family "Bacterial small subunit ribosomal RNA", at positions 509 to 809 of the family's 1533-position model. The record is from RNAcentral.